Molecule: ribosomal RNA, 266 nt
Filed under: uncultured Staphylococcus sp.
Lineage: Bacteria; Bacillati; Bacillota; Bacilli; Caryophanales; Staphylococcaceae
Description: partial 16S ribosomal RNA
Rfam family: Bacterial small subunit ribosomal RNA
Source: RNAcentral
CGGCGGACGGGUGAGUAACACGUGGAUAACUUACCUAUAAGACUGGGAUAACUUCGGGAAACCGGAGCUAAUACCGGAUAAUAUAUUGAACCGCAUGGUUCAAUAGUGAAAGACGGUUUUGCUGUCACUUAUAGAUGGAUCCGCGCCGCAUUAGCUAGUUGGUAAGGUAACGGCUUACCAAGGCAACGAUGCGUAGCCGACCUGAGAGGGUGAUCGGCCACACUGGAACUGAGACAUGGUCCAGACUCCUACGGGAGGCAGCAGGU